UAAAAGCAAAAUUGCAACAUGAACUUGUCUA
RNAcentral lists this non-coding RNA (31 nucleotides) under Mus musculus (house mouse). Lineage: Eukaryota; Metazoa; Chordata; Mammalia; Rodentia; Muridae. The record is from RNAcentral.